This 431-nucleotide ribosomal RNA is filed under the name uncultured bacterium. RNAcentral's name for it is "partial 16S ribosomal RNA". It matches the Rfam family "Bacterial small subunit ribosomal RNA", at positions 29 to 507 of the family's 1533-position model. The record is from RNAcentral.
AACGAACGCUGGCGGCAGGCUUAACACAUGCAAGUCGAGCGCCUCGCUAGAGGAGCGGCAGACGGGUGAGUAACGCGUGGGAACGUACCCUUAUCUUCGGAAUAGCUCUGGGAAACUGGAAGUAAUACCGAAUGUGCCCUUAGGGGGAAAGAUUUAUCGGAUAAGGAUCGGCCCGCGUUGGAUUAGCUAGUUGGUGGGGUAAAGGCAUACCAAGGCGACGAUCCACAGCUGGUCUGAGAGGAUGAUCAGCCACAUUGGGACUGGGACACGGCCCAAACUCCUACGGGAGGCAGCAGUGGGGAAUAUUGGACAAUGGGCGCAAGCCUGAUCCAGCCAUGCCGCGUGAGUGAUGAAGGCCUUAGGGUUGUAAAGCUCUUUCACCGGAGAAGAUAAUGACGGUAUCCGGAGAAGAAGCCCCGGCUAACUUCGUG